This 497-nucleotide ribosomal RNA is filed under the name uncultured bacterium. RNAcentral describes it as "partial 16S ribosomal RNA". It matches the Rfam family "Bacterial small subunit ribosomal RNA", at positions 28 to 507 of the family's 1533-position model. The record is from RNAcentral.
GAUGAACGCUGGCGGCGUGCCUAAUACAUGCAAGUCGAGCGAACCGACGAGGAGCUUGCUCCUCUGACGUUAGCGGCGGACGGGUGAGUAACACGUGGAUAACCUACCUAUAAGACUGGGAUAACUUCGGGAAACCGGAGCUAAUACCGGAUAAUAUAUUGAACCGCAUGGUUCAAUAGUGAAAGACGGUUUUGCUGUCACUUAUAGAUGGAUCCGCGCCGCAUUAGCUAGUUGGUAAGGUAACGGCUUACCAAGGCAACGAUGCGUAGCCGACCUGAGAGGGUGAUCGGCCACACUGGAACUGAGACACGGUCCAGACUCCUACGGGAGGCAGCAGUAGGGAAUCUUCCGCAAUGGGCGAAAGCUUGACGGAGCAACGCCGCGUGAGUGAUGAAGGUCUUCGGAUCGUAAAACUCUGUUAUUAGGGAAGAACAAAUGUGUAAGUAACUAUGCACGUCUUGACGGUACCUAAUCAGAAAGCCACGGCUAACUACGUG